Molecule: non-coding RNA, 29 nt
Filed under: Homo sapiens (human)
Lineage: Eukaryota; Metazoa; Chordata; Mammalia; Primates; Hominidae
Source: RNAcentral
ACCACCAGAAGUGGUUGUCUUAGUGCUAC